GGCUCAUUGGUCUAGUAGUAUGAUUCUCGCUUAGGGUGCGAGAGGUCCCGGGUUCAAUUCCCGGAUGAGCCCACA
RNAcentral lists this transfer RNA (75 nucleotides) under Vibrio parahaemolyticus. RNAcentral describes it as "tRNA-Pro". It matches the Rfam family "tRNA". Rfam says of the family: Transfer RNA (tRNA) molecules are approximately 80 nucleotides in length. Lineage: Bacteria; Pseudomonadati; Pseudomonadota; Gammaproteobacteria; Vibrionales; Vibrionaceae. The record is from RNAcentral.